This is a long non-coding RNA of Vombatus ursinus (common wombat), 3066 nucleotides long. RefSeq lists it as uncharacterized. NCBI's taxonomy places the organism in Eukaryota, Metazoa, Chordata, Mammalia, Diprotodontia, Vombatidae. The transcript has 5 exons. The record is from RefSeq and is a predicted model, not a curated record.
ACCUGUCUGAAAAGCCAGUCGACACCUACGGGACAUGAGGAGAGUCUGGACCUGCACGUCUUUUUGCUCAAAGCUGGAAGCCAGAAGCCCAGGGUCUCUCUUCUCUCCAGCUCUCACCAACUCUGACCAUCAGAAAGCCAGUUCAGAGCAUUGAAGGAUUAAUCUCAUCUGUGGAGGAUAGUCUCAUGCAAAUGGACGUCCUGUUCUAGGUGGCUGAAAGGCAGUUGGAGAAGCCAGAUCAGAGGCCAGAAGAAAGAAAGGCAGAAAAGACUUACACUUCAGAAGAAGAAAAAAGGCUGGGGCCUUUUCCCAUGCCCAAAGAAAGGGACUUGGAAGCUGCUGAAGUUUGAGAUUGGAGGUCCAUCUGGAGGUUUACGCCAGCAGUAUUCUGAAUAUCUGAUCCCUAGGAGGUGCACUUGCUUGCUAGACUGUUGAAUCUUCCUACCUUUUGGUCUUGGUGGCAAUGUGAAGCAGGUGCUCCUGGAAAGGAGAACAGUCCUGCAACAGCAUCCCCACCCUAUCCCCAAAAUAUGGUUAACGACUAAAAAUUUGAUAUGAGUCAACUGCGCAAGAAGGCAGGCAAAAAUGCUGGAGGGCUCUUUGGCUGCAUUAAGAAUGACAGAAUUCUAGAAUUGGAAAGGAUCCCGAUGGCCAUCCAGUUCCCCAUUAUCUGUACUAGAAUGCCCUCUCCAAUGUACCCAGCAAAUGAUCACGCAGACUUUGUAUAAAGACCACCAAUGAUGGGUAUUUAUUAAGCACUUGCCAUGUACCAUGUGCCAAGUACUCUAUGCCUUCUAAUCAAAUGUGAUAAACCACUACAAACCACUUAGCACAGUGGCUGGUACAUAGUAGGUGCUUUAAAAAAAUGUUUGUUCUCUAGCUCAUGUGGAGAGCCCUUUUUGUGGCAUCUAGGACUGGGAGAUGACAGAGGGAACUCUGUGCCAGGGACACGACUGCAGACCGACCACAAGAUGCUUCCUGGCUAAUACCAGCUACCCACAAUUCUCUGAAGUGAAGGACUCUUGGGGGGUUGUAGGAAAAUGCCUGAUUGUCUACAUUUUGUGACUACAUUCUGGGCUCUCUAGGACCAUAUGGGUCCUUGUGGGGAGGAGAAUGCCCUUCCUUCCAUAAAGCAUUCGGAAAACCUGAAUGCCGCAUGUGUGUUCUGUCAUGUGUCCUAUGCGUUUGGUCUAGACGAGUAAGGCACAUGCUGUAGGUGAUUUUAUCUGUUUUGCAUCAUGCUUCUGCAUGGACCAUAAGUCUGUCAUACUUAUUUCUAAUGUGGAUAAUAUGUCACAGGUUCUUGCAGGUCUCCUGUGUAGUUGCAAUGAUUUUGAUUACACUAUGCGCUAAUUGAUGAAUGUAUAUUUUUACAAAUGCAUCCAUGUACCCAGGGUGAUUUGCAGGGAUUGCAAAUUCUUUGCUGGGGGGAAAUUUAAGGAAGCAGUAUGUCCCUGGCCAAAUGAGAGUCAUGGUCUUCUGGUAGUCCUGCCCCCUAGGACUUGCAUGACAAUUCCUACCUGGCUAUGUCAGUCUAAUGAAUGCAGGCUGUUAAGCAGCGGGUAGGGUAUUGAAUCUAGAUAGAGGAUGAAAAUGAUCAAGUCGGGGUUCUGAUGGUGGAACACAUGACGAGAGGCUGAAUACAAGUACCAUUCUGUGGCUUCUGGGGUUUCUUCAACUCUGUGGUUUUGUGACUCUGCAGUCUUUCAUGAGACCCUCUAAGAGGGUGACAAUACUCAUCACCAUCUCCUGAAGGAGUGUGUAAUGUCCCUGGUCAUUAGGCAGAUUAACUCUUACAGGUGAGUUGCUGAUGUGACAUUUGGUCCUUGUGGAGAGAGGCGAUAUCCAAGAUCCCUCAGAUCAACUGCCAUUACUGGUCAUGGGGCAGAUCCAGUCCUUGGAGGAAUGGGUGAUAUGACUGGUUACUAGGCAGAUUUAGUCAUCCAGGAAAGGAAUAACUGAUCAUCUGCUGACUUACUCACUUAGGGGAACAGGUGGCGUUACUAAGGUAUAGAGUUUUGUCCCUUGAGAGAAAGAAUGACACCAUUAGUUUCUAUUCCUGAAUACUUUGUCUUAGGAUGAUCAAGUCAUGCAUUGAUCUCAGUUAAUUUAAUAAGAAAGAAAAGCCUUACACCUGAGUGAAUUGAUUUCAUGAAUACAAGAUAGAGGGAAUGAACAGAUAAGCAUUCAUCUGAAAAAGAUCUGAGAAUCUUAGUGGACCACAAGUUCCUCGUGCAUCCACAGUGUAACAUAUCAACCAACGGAGCUAAUGUUAUCUGAGGUUGUAUAGAAUACCCAGCACAUACUCUGCCUCUGUCAGACCCCCCUCCAGAGUAUUUUGUUCAGUUCUGGGCCCCUUUAAAAAUGACAUUAAUAAGCUGGGGAGUGAGUUGUCUAGAGGAGGAUAACCAGGAUGGCAAAUCUGCUGAAAACUGGGCAGAGUCAGCUUGGAAAAAACUUAGUGAAGGGGUGGGGGAGGCAGUGGAAACCAGAGCGCCAUCUUCUAGUGCUUGAAGGGCAUAUGGAGCAUGGGCAUCUCCUUCUGUUUGUCCCCAGAAGGAAGGAUCCAGAAGCCAAGGUGACAUGUCUCAGAGGCCAGAAAAGGCUUAACUUCAGGAAAACCUUCUUCCCAAGAAGAGUGGCCCCCAAGUGGCAUGGGCUGCCACAAGAGACCCAUCAGGAUGGGCAGGAGGGACAGCAAGAUGAGGCUAAUCCCCAGCAUCACAGCCCACAGCGGGUAGGGAAGCGGCGACUCUGUGGACCGUGAAGACAAAGGUGGCCAAGGUCACUCGGGGUGCCGUGGGGUCAGGACUGAAACCGAGAGAUACUGUGCCUGAAUGGGAGAUUGCUGGGAAGAAGGGAGGGAGGAACACUGGUGAGGGAUGGGGAGAGAGCACGCCUGGCCGCUGGGGGAGGUGACGGCUAGAGGGCCACCUGCUUCCCUGAGGUGAGGGAAGGGGUGAGGACGAGGGUGGCUGCCUGGGUGCCUGAGGGGCAGGGGUGGGCAGGCCUUAGCAGCCCACAGUGCUGCUGUCCCAGGCUCCAUAGAUGGGCUAUGCCAGAAUC